UUAUUGCUUUUAGAACUUGUGGGUGGAGAUUGAAAAUCGAUCUUGAAUGACUAUGUUUAUUCAGAACAUUUAAAAGAAACAUUUGAAAAUUAUUUUGUGAAACCUUUUAUCCUUACAAACAAUAUUAUAUGGUAAGAAACUAAAGGUGAAGACAAUUCUUUUAGCUUGCAAGGAAAACUUUAACUUGAUUUUGGGUCUUGGGGGUCUUGUCACCAAGAGUCCUUACCCUACGUUAAGUAGCAGAUGCAAAUACUACACUUUGUAUCCAUGAGUUAUCGAGUGGAACAUUGGGAGAAUAACCCCCAACUUUUGUGUGUACAGAUAUUCAAGAUUUUGCAUUCAGAGUGUAGAAUAAGCCAAGAAAAUUACUAAGUAAAAAUAUGAUUACAAGCUUAGUAGUGGCCGUGGUGUGAGUGAUCCAUGCAAUCACAAGAUUGGCCUUAUAAGGGCAGUUUCUGCAUUUAAGCUAGUUGAAAGUAGACCUGUUCACUGGCUUGGUGCUAACUCAACAUGAUCAGUUUCUAAAUUGCCUGACUUUGACAAUAAAUUUUAUCCAUUGGCUUGAGUUGGGGCCCAGCCUGAUCAAGGCCCACUUUAAAAUUGGGUCUGUUUUGAGAUUCAAAAUUCCUUAAGCCCCAACUCUGCCUGGUCUGCUUUGCUAAAAAUUACAUGUAUUUUUUGAAAAUAUUUAUAUGCAAUUGGGACUGGCUUAGGCAAAACAAGUAGUCUUGGCCAUAUGGGGACUUGAGCCAAUGUAUAAAGGGUCCUAGUCUAACCUCUUAAUGACCAGGUUUGGUAAAAAAGGUUUAAUGGUGCACUGUUGUAAGGACUUGUGGGAUUUAAUUGGAAAUAUGAUUACAGACAUUAAUAAUGUUCCUUGACUCUCUUCUGCACUGAGCUGAAAAUCAGCUGUGCCAAGGGUUUGCUUUUUGCAUUUUAACUUUGUUUUUGAUUGCAUAACAUGCAUAUGCAGAAAUAAAAUGCCAUACCUAAUUCCAAUAUAUGAGCUAAUGGUCAAAACUAGAAAAUCUCAAGUUGCCAAAAAUCUGUGUUGUACAUGCACUGCUUUUGGCAAAUUAACUAAUCUUCGAGCGUAGAUGUUUAGAGAAAGGUCAUGCACCUAACUUUAAGACAAAGCUGUAUUGGAACGCCAUCCCUACCCAUACCUGGCGUUCUCAGUAGUAAGUUCCUUCUAGUUCCUGCAGUUCGAAAUGCAUUCAUGUUAUAGAUAACACUUGGACAUUCCGACAUAUUGAUGUUGGUAGUGGUGUCAUUGUUUUAACACAAAAAGCUGAUGCCUAAGCAAUAUAGUCUAUGAUGAUUGUUGAAUCCUUUAAAAUAUAGAAAUGUAAAAUUGACCCUCAAAGGAAAAAAAUAAAAAUUUAAGGAGUCCAUGCCCCAUGGAGUUGGCAAUCCAUGUUGAGAGAAUGCACAUGUAGUGGCUUGUACUUAAGGCAUGUCAUUAUAUGCCGUUAUGUCUAUUUGUUUCACCGGUUUAUUUAGUUAUCCACAAACUGUAAUGCUUUAUUUGGAUGGGGGGAUCUGUUGGGGUUCUUGAUCCCUAACAAGCAGUUACUGAUUCUGAGGAGGAAGAAGAAAUAGCAAGAGAGGAAAAUGGGAGGAAUAGAAGAAGAAAUAGCAAGAGAGGAAAAUGG
This 1655-nucleotide unclassified non-coding RNA is filed under the name Hevea brasiliensis (rubber tree). Lineage: Eukaryota; Viridiplantae; Streptophyta; Magnoliopsida; Malpighiales; Euphorbiaceae. The record is from RNAcentral.